Molecule: signal recognition particle RNA, 297 nt
Filed under: Saimiri boliviensis boliviensis (Bolivian squirrel monkey)
Lineage: Eukaryota; Metazoa; Chordata; Mammalia; Primates; Cebidae
Description: Metazoan signal recognition particle RNA (ENSSBOG00000003033.1)
Rfam family: Metazoan signal recognition particle RNA
About the family: The signal recognition particle (SRP) is a universally conserved ribonucleoprotein. It is involved in the co-translational targeting of proteins to membranes. The eukaryotic SRP consists of a 300-nucleotide 7S RNA and six proteins: SRPs 72, 68, 54, 19, 14, and 9.
Source: RNAcentral
ACUGGGCACAGUGGCACCUGCCCAUAGUAUUAGCUACUUGGGAGGCCGGGGUGGGAGGAUCGCUUGGGCCCAGGAGUUUUGGGCUGUAGUAAGCUAUGCCUAUCAAGUGCACACACAAGUUUGGCAUCAUUAUGGUGACCUCCCAGGAGCAGGGGACCACCAGGUUGCCUAUGGAGGGGUGAACUGGCCCAGGUAAGAAAUUGAGCAGGUCAAAACUCCGUGAUGAUCAGUAGUGGGAUCGUGCCUGUGAAUAGCCACUGCACUUCAGUCUGGACAACAUAUCGAGACCCCGUUUCU